Molecule: long non-coding RNA, 181 nt
Organism: Myripristis murdjan (pinecone soldierfish)
Lineage: Eukaryota; Metazoa; Chordata; Actinopteri; Holocentriformes; Holocentridae
Exons: 3
Source: RefSeq, a predicted model, not a curated record
CUGGCUACAGUUUGCAACCGCUGGGCGAAGGUGUUCGUGCUGGACUUCCCUCCACGCUUGAACAUCGAGCCUGGCCUGCAGGAGCUGUUCCGCCAGGAGUUCCGCCGUGUCGCAGCACGCAUGGGUCUCCCAUACGUGUCUGUGGCAGAGCACCUCCCUCUGGACCGUUUGGAGCUGUGGA